GAGGGUAUAGCUCAAGUGGUAGAGCAAAUGCUUAGCAUGCUUGAGGUUCUGGGUUCAAUCCCCAGCACCUUCU
This 73-nucleotide transfer RNA is filed under the name Camelus bactrianus (Bactrian camel). It matches the Rfam family "tRNA". From Rfam's summary of the family: Transfer RNA (tRNA) molecules are approximately 80 nucleotides in length. Their secondary structure includes four short double-helical elements and three loops (D, anti-codon, and T loops). The record is from Rfam by way of RNAcentral. RNAcentral also lists the same sequence under 2 other names. Lineage: Eukaryota; Metazoa; Chordata; Mammalia; Artiodactyla; Camelidae.